CCUACGGGAGGCAGCAGUGGGGAAUUUUGGACAAUGGGCGCAAGCCUGAUCCAGCAAUGCCGCGUGAGUGAAGAAGGCCUUCGGGUUGUAAAGCUCUUUUGUCAGGGAAGAAACGGUGGAGGUUAAUACCUUCUGCUAAUGACGGUACCUGAAGAAUAAGCACCGGCUAACUACGUGCCAGCAGCCGCGGUAAUACGUAGGGUGCAAGCGUUAAUCGGAAUUACUGGGCGUAAAGCGUGCGCAGGCGGUUGUGCAAGACAGAUGUGAAAUCCCCGGGCUCAACCUGGGAAUUGCAUUUGUGACUGUACGGCUAGAGUGUGUCAGAGGGGGGUUAGAAUUCCACGUGUAGCAGUGAAAUGCGUAGAGAUGUGGAGGAAUACCGAUGGCGAAGGCAGCCCCCUGGGAUAACACUGACGCUCAUGCACGAAAGCGUGGGGAGCAAACAGGAUUAGAUACCCUGGUAGUCCACGCCCUAAACGAUGUCUACUAGUUGUCGGGUCUUUAUUGACUUGGUAACGCAGCUAACGCGUGAAGUAGACCGCCUGGGGAGUACGGUCGCAAGNUUAAAACGUCAAAGGAAUUGACGGCUGAGAGNGCGACGGCGACGACGAGGGGAGGAGG
RNAcentral lists this ribosomal RNA (621 nucleotides) under uncultured bacterium. RNAcentral's name for it is "bacterial SSU rRNA". It matches the Rfam family "Bacterial small subunit ribosomal RNA", at positions 338 to 950 of the family's 1533-position model. The record is from RNAcentral.